Molecule: unclassified non-coding RNA, 370 nt
Filed under: uncultured Gammaproteobacteria bacterium
Lineage: Bacteria; Pseudomonadati; Pseudomonadota; Gammaproteobacteria
Description: contains 16S-23S intergenic spacer region
Source: RNAcentral
UCCGGUUUAUCACCGGCAGUCCCGCUAGAGUUCUCAACUUAAUGUAGCAACUAACGGUAAGGGUUGCGCUCGUUGCGUCACUUAAGACAACAUCUCACGACACGAGCUGACGACAGCCAUGCAGCACCUGUGUUCUGGUUCCUUGCGGCACUUCUACAUCUCUGUAGAAUUCCAGACAUGUCAAGAGCAGGUAAGGUUUUUCGCGUUGCAUCGAAUUAAUCCACAUCAUCCACCGCUUGUGCGGGUCCCCGUCAAUUCCUUUGAGUUUUAAUCUUGCGACCGUACUCCCCAGGCGGUCUACUUCACGCGUUAGCUUCGCUACUAAGGUUACCCCCAACAGCAAGUAGACAUCGUUUAGGGCGUGGACUAC